GUCCUUUAGAUAUUAAUUUAAGGUCUAACCUGCCCACUGAAUUAUUUUAAAUGGCCGCAGUAAUUUGACUGUGCAAAGGUAGCAUAAUCAUUAGUUUUUUAAUUAAAAGCUUGUAUGAAAGGUUGGACGAAGUAAAAUCUGUCUCUAAUUAAAUUAAUUUAGAAUUUAACUUUUAAGUUAAAAGGCUUAAAUUUAACUAAAAGACGAGAAGACCCUAUAGAUCUUUAUAUUUAAAUUAAUAAAUUUAAUUAAGAAUUUUUAAAAUUUUAUUAAUUUAAUUAUUUUAUUGGGGUAAUAUAAAGAUUAAAAUAAUUCUUUUUUUUUAUUAACAUUAAUUUAUGAUUUUGAUGAUCCAAUUAUAUUGAUUUUAAGAUUAAGUUACCUUAGGGAUAACAGCGUAAUUUUUUUAGAGAGUUCUUAUCGAUAAAAAAGUUUGCGACCUCGAUGUUGGAUUAAAGAUUAUUUUAGGUGUAGAAGCUUAAAAAUUUUGGUCUGUUCGACCAUUAAAUCUUUACAUGAUCUGAGUUCAGACCGGUGUAAGCCAGGUCGGUUUCUAUCUUUAGUAAAUUAAAAUAUUUUAGUACGAAAGGACCAAUUAUUUAAUAUAAAUAUUUAAAUUUUGAUUAUUAUUAA
RNAcentral lists this ribosomal RNA (633 nucleotides) under Nebria georgei. Its description in RNAcentral is "partial large subunit ribosomal RNA". The stretch from base 389 to 548 matches the Rfam family "Bacterial large subunit ribosomal RNA", at positions 2473 to 2632 of the family's 2925-position model. Lineage: Eukaryota; Metazoa; Arthropoda; Insecta; Coleoptera; Carabidae. The record is from RNAcentral.